UGCAGUCGAACGGCAGCACAGAGGAGCUUGCUCCUUGGGUGGCGAGUGGCGGACGGGUGAGGAAUACAUCGGAAUCUACUUUGUCGUGGGGGAUAACGUAGGGAAACUUACGCUAAUACCGCAUACUACCUACAGGUGAAAGCAGGGGACCUUCGGGCCUUGCGCGAUUGAAUGAGCCGAUGUCGGAUUAGCUAGUUGGCGGGGUAAAGGCCCACCAGGGCGACGAUCCGUAGCUGGUCUGAGAGGAUGAUCAGCCACACUGGAACUGAGACACGGUCCAGACUCCUACGGGAGGCAGCAGUGGGGAAUAUUGGACAAUGGGCGCAAGCCUGAUCCACCCAUACCGCGUGGGUGAAGAAGGCCUUCGGGUUGUAAAGCCCUUUUGUUGGGAAAGAAAUCCAUCUGGCUAAUACCCGGUUGGGAUGACGGUACCCAAAGAAUAAGCACCGGCUAACUUCGUGCCACAGCCGCGGUAAUACAAAGGGUGCAAGCGUUACUCAGAAUUACUGGGCGUAAAGCGUGCGUAGGUGGUCGUUUAACUCCGUUGUGAAAGCCCUGGGCUCAAGCUGGGAACUGCGGUGGAUACGGGGCGACUAAGUGUGGUAGAGGGUACGGAAUUCCUGGUGUAGCAGUGAGAUGCGUAAAGAUCGAGAGGAA
Molecule: ribosomal RNA, 657 nt
Filed under: uncultured bacterium
Lineage: Bacteria
Description: bacterial SSU rRNA
Rfam family: Bacterial small subunit ribosomal RNA
Source: RNAcentral